This 476-nucleotide ribosomal RNA is filed under the name uncultured bacterium. RNAcentral's name for it is "partial 16S ribosomal RNA". It matches the Rfam family "Bacterial small subunit ribosomal RNA", at positions 28 to 523 of the family's 1533-position model. The record is from RNAcentral.
GACGAACGCUGGCGGCGUGCCUAACACAUGCAAGUCGAGCGAUGAAGUUCUUCGGAACGGAUUAGCGGCGGACGGGUGAGUAACACGUGGGUAACCUGCCUUGUAGAGGGGGAUAGCCUUCCGAGAGGAAGAUUAAUACCGCAUAACAUCUUUUUAUCGCAUGGUAGAAAGAUCCAAGGAGUAAUCCGCUACAAGAUGGACCCGCGGCGCAUUAGCUAGUUGGUGGGGUAACGGCUCACCAAGGCGACGAUGCGUAGCCGACCUGAGAGGGUGAUCGGCCACAUUGGAACUGAGACACGGUCCAGACUCCUACGGGAGGCAGCAGUGGGGAAUAUUGCGCAAUGGGGGAAACCCUGACGCAGCAACGCCGCGUGAAUGAAGAAGGCCUUAGGGUUGUAAAGUUCUGUUUACGGGGACGAUAAUGACGGUACCCGUGGAGGAAGCCACGGCUAACUACGUGCCAGCAGCCGCCGUAA